UUCCUUCCUGUGUAUCACCCCAGCCCUGAGGAGAGCAGGGACCCCACCCUCUAUGCCAACAAUGUUCAGAGGGUCAUGGCACAGGCUCUGGGCAUUCCAGCCACCGAAUGUGAGUUUGUAGGGAGCUUACCUGUGAUUGUGGUGGGCCGGCUGAAGGUGGCGUUGGAGCCACAGCUCUGGGAACUGGGAAAAGUGCUUCGGAAGGCUGGGCUGUCCCCUGGCUAUGUGGACGCUGGGGCAGAGCCAGGCCGGAGUCGAAUGAUCAGCCAGGAAGAGUUUGCCAGGCAGCUACAGCUCUCUGAUCCUCAGACGGUGGCUGGUGCCUUUGGCUACUUCCAGCAGGAUACCAAGGGUUUGGUGGACUUCCGAGAUGUGGCCCUUGCACUAGCAGCUCUGGAUGGGGGCAGGAGCCUGGAAGAGCUGACUCGUUUGGCCUUUGAGGUAAUGGGGGGUGGCGGUGGGGGGGGGUGCUUAGUGGCUAUGCUCACCCCACUCCAGGAGGCCUAUUUUGGUAUGCUGUUUCCAGUAGCUUCUAGAUAUUAGGCAUUUGGUAUCCAACCUAGUGCCACAGUGCCUAAAACUGCAGACCCCCGGCGUCUAUGUUGAGACCUAGCUGGGCACAAGAAGAAGGAAGAAGAAGGAAAAAGCUAUAAAGUCUACAGUUCUGCAGAAAGGGCACUGGAGGGUCAGGGAAGGCUUGUGCACCACCAUUUUGGAAGAGGAGGAGCCUGUCAGGCCAGUCUGUGGGGCAGGGUGAGGCCAUGGCACGAGGAGAGAACUUGACUCUUAUCCCUUUCUCUCCCAAGCUCUUUGCUGAAGAGCAAGCAGAGGGGCCCAACCGCCUGCUGUACAAAGACGGCUUCAGCACCAUCCUGCACCUGCUGCUGGGUUCACCCCGCCCUGCUGCCACAGCUUUGCAUGCUGAGCUGUGCCAGGCAGGAUCCAGCCAAGGCCUCUCCCUCUGUCAGUUCCAGAACUUCUCCCUCCAUGACCCACUCUAUGGGAAACUCUUCAGCACCUACCUGCGCCCCCCACACACCUCUCGAGGCACCUCCCAGACACCAAAUGCCUCAUCCCCAGGCAACCCCACUGCUCUGGCCAAUGGGACUGUGCAAGCACCCAAGCAGAAGGGAGACUGAGUGCCUCAGCCUCUCACCCCCUCCUCCUCAGGGCGGCGCUAGGGGCCUCCCCUAUGCCUCAGCCCCAUCUCUGCUCCUGUUUGAAUUUUGUUAUUGUUGUUUGGUUGUUUUUUUUUUAAGUUGAUUUUAAUUUUUUGUUUGGUUGAUUUUUUUGUAAAAAACUAUUUUAUAUAUAAAUAUAAAUCUAUAUCUAUAUCUAUUAAAAAAAAUGAAGUCCA
Molecule: small RNA, 1357 nt
Filed under: Pan troglodytes (chimpanzee)
Lineage: Eukaryota; Metazoa; Chordata; Mammalia; Primates; Hominidae
Description: retained intron
Source: RNAcentral